UGGGGCGGGGCUCAGUCGGUUAAGCGCCCGACUUUGGCUCAGGUCAUAAUCUUACGUUUCGUGGGUUCGAGCCCCACCGUCUCGG
This 85-nucleotide transfer RNA is filed under the name Felis catus (domestic cat). It matches the Rfam family "tRNA". Rfam says of the family: Transfer RNA (tRNA) molecules are approximately 80 nucleotides in length. Lineage: Eukaryota; Metazoa; Chordata; Mammalia; Carnivora; Felidae. The record is from Rfam by way of RNAcentral.